RNAcentral lists this ribosomal RNA (142 nucleotides) under uncultured eukaryote. Its description in RNAcentral is "partial 18S ribosomal RNA". It matches the Rfam family "Eukaryotic small subunit ribosomal RNA", at positions 1299 to 1458 of the family's 1831-position model. The record is from RNAcentral.
UUGUGGAGCGAUUUGUCUGGUCAAUUCCGAUAAUAAACGAGACUAGCUUACUAAAUAGUUCGAGGACCCCCACAAAGGGGUCCAGCUUAAACUUCUUGGAGGGGACAGGUGGCGUUUAGCCACACGAGAUUGAGCAAUAACA